RNAcentral lists this ribosomal RNA (404 nucleotides) under uncultured bacterium. RNAcentral's name for it is "bacterial SSU rRNA". It matches the Rfam family "Bacterial small subunit ribosomal RNA", at positions 355 to 776 of the family's 1533-position model. The record is from RNAcentral.
UGGGGAAUAUUGGACAAUGGGCGCAAGCCUGAUCCAGCCAUGCCGCGUGAGUGAUGAAGGCCUUCGGGUUGUAAAGCUCUUUCGCACGCGACGAUGAUGACGGUAGCGUGAGAAGAAGCCCCGGCUAACUUCGUGCCAGCAGCCGCGGUAAUACGAAGGGGGCUAGCGUUGUUCGGAAUUACUGGGCGUAAAGGGCGCGUAGGCGGCGCAUCAAGUCAGGCGUGAAAGCCCCGGGCUUAACCUGGGAAUUGCGCUUGAGACUGGUGUGCUUGAGUACCGGAGAGGUGGGUGGAAUUCCCAGUGUAGAGGUGAAAUUCGUAGAUAUUGGGAAGAACACCGGUGGCGAAGGCGGCCCACUGGACGGUUACUGACGCUGAGGCGCGAAAGCGUGGGGAGCAAACAGG